This 484-nucleotide ribosomal RNA is filed under the name uncultured bacterium. Its description in RNAcentral is "partial 16S ribosomal RNA". It matches the Rfam family "Bacterial small subunit ribosomal RNA", at positions 30 to 507 of the family's 1533-position model. The record is from RNAcentral.
AUUGAACGCUGGCGGCAGGCCUAACACAUGCAAGUCGAGCGGAUGAAGGGAGCUUGCUCCUGGAUUCCGCGGCGGACGGGUGAGUAAUGCCUAGGAAUCUGCCUGGUCGUGGGGGAUAACGUCCGGACACGGGCGCUAAUACCGCAUACGUCCUGAGGGUGAACGUGGGGGAUCUUCGGACCUCACGCUAUCAGAUGAGCCUAGGUCGGAUUAGCUAGUUGGUGGGGUAAAGGCCUACCAAGGCGACGAUCCGUAACUGGUCUGAGAGGAUGAUCAGUCACACUGGAACUGAGACACGGUCCAGACUCCUACGGGAGGCAGCAGUGGGGAAUAUUGGACAAUGGGCGAAAGCCUGAUCCAGCCAUGCCGCGUGUGUGAAGAAGGUCUUCGGAUUGUAAAGCACUUUAAGUUGGGAGGAAGGGCAGUAAGUUAAUACCUGGCUGUUUUGACGUUACCAACAGAAUAAGCACCGGCUAACUUCGUG